This is a non-coding RNA of Paramuricea clavata, 1305 nucleotides long. The record is from the annotation of a GenBank genome assembly. NCBI's taxonomy places the organism in Eukaryota, Metazoa, Cnidaria, Anthozoa, Malacalcyonacea, Plexauridae.
UAAUAAUUUAACCACAUUUUAUUACAUUAUAAACAAGCCAGUAUUAAAAAUUUCAAACUAAAACAACAGAUAAUUAGAAAAUGAUCUUAGUUCAUAAAUACAUCGCUGAAUCAACUUAUCAAUGAUCACCGUAAUAUCAAUAUAAUCUUCAGUAUCAAACAGUGUUUAUUAAACAGGGUGCGAUAAUUCGCGUACUUACGUUACCACGUGACCUUUCCUAGCCUAAGGUAUUCAAUACCGUAAUUUAGUUAGUAUAUCAUGUGUCUGAGAUGUCUUGGCAUGAAACAUUAUUGGACUGAUGGCACUAAGAAACGUUGAAGUCGAUUGUUUGUUUACAGCUAUUUCAAUUAAGGUUGUCCCCGAGCAAAGCGGAAAAGUCGAAUACGAGCGCGAAAGGCUGCUGUGAAUCGCUAACGAAGACUGAUGAAUUUAUUAGCGAUUCAGCCUUUCGCGCUCGUAUUCGACUUUUCCGCUUUGGUCGGGGACAAAUUUAAUUGAAAUAGCUGUAUGCAAUUGUGCUUCUUUUUCUACCUCGUAGUCUGUACAUACUUUUCAUAAACCUGUACUUUAUGAACCUUAUUUUAAUGACUAAGCACACAUUGAGUACUGAGUUUGCACUAGACUAGCGCAAGUACGCGCCAACAACCAUUGGCGUACCAGUCAAUACCAGUCAGGCACGACUAAAAAUCCUGAAUUAUCGCACCCUGCAGUUUAUACUGCACUUAGCAAGUUUAAAAACAAUCCCAAAACAAGAUGAUCAAUUUCAAAGAAUCGCUAGUCAAUUUCAAGAUAAAUUUCAACAUAACAGAUUGCCCAAAAUAUUUUCAAAUUAUCUUCCUAGCUAGUGAGGCAGCACAUUAUCAUGCAUACUCAUAUGAUCUUCAAGUUCGGUGGCAAUUUCAUACUCAGCAUCGCAGACACAACAGAUAUAACCAAUACCAGUUGCUUGCCUUGCUUCUAAUUCCUUUCAGACAUCACAUUGGUAGGACGUACCAUGCUCUUUGGCGUUGUGCUCAAUUAAACUUUGAAUUUCAGCGAACUGUUUGUUGCAUUUGUCACAGUCAAAAUGAUCAUCACUCAGUAUCUCAUCAGAAUGUCCUUGUCCUUGCGAUUGAAUAACUUCUCUGCCACAAGUGUCGCACACUAAUAAGCCGUCUCUUCAAUGUGUUCUCCAUUGGCGUUUGAGACUUUGUUGUUGUUGUCUGAAUGUUUUCUUGCAGAUAUUACGAAAGUCACCGAACUGUGGAAUCGCAUCGAAAAUUCGUAUAUCGGCCACUCCCAGAAACAUCUAUGACCGCACCUACA